This 770-nucleotide ribosomal RNA is filed under the name Cryptosporidium sp. stomach Agrionemys/CG2007/USA/2007. RNAcentral describes it as "SSU rRNA". It matches the Rfam family "Eukaryotic small subunit ribosomal RNA", at positions 216 to 1037 of the family's 1831-position model. The record is from RNAcentral. Lineage: Eukaryota; Apicomplexa; Conoidasida; Eucoccidiorida; Cryptosporidiidae.
AAAGAACCAAUAUUUUUGGUGAUUCAUAAUAACUUUACGGAUCGCAUCUUUGAUGCGACAUAUCAUUCAAGUUUCUGACCUAUCAGCUUUAGACGGUAGGGUAUUGGCCUACCGUGGCUAUGACGGGUAACGGGGAAUUAGGGUUCGAUUCCGGAGAGGGAGCCUGAGAAACGGCUACCACAUCUAAGGAAGGCAGCAGGCGCGCGAAUUACCCAAUCCUGACACAGGGAGGUAGUGACAAGAAAUAACAAUACAGGGCCUUAACGGUCUUGUAAUUGGAAUGAGUGAAGUAUAAACCCCUUUACAAGUAUCAAUUGGAGGGCAAGUCUGGUGCCAGCAGCCGCGGUAAUUCCAGCUCCAAUAGCGUAUAUUAAAGUUGUUGCAGUUAAAAAGCUCGUAGUUGGAUUUCUGUUGUAUGAUUAUAAUUGAUAUCAAGAUAUUAUUAUAUCAUCAACAUCCUUCCUAUUACAUUAAUUGUAUAGGAAAUUUUACUUUGAGAAAAUUAGAGUGCUUAAAGCAGGCUUCUGCCUUGAAUACUCCAGCAUGGAAUAAUAAGUAAGGACUUUUGUCUUUCUUGUUGGUUCUAGGAUAAAAGUAAUGGUUAAUAGGGACAGUUGGGGGCAUUCGUAUUUAACAGUCAGAGGUGAAAUUCUUAGAUUUGUUAAAGACGAACUACUGCGAAAGCAUUUGCCAAGGAUGUUUUCAUUAAUCAAGAACGAAAGUUAGGGGAUCGAAGACGAUCAGAUACCGUCGUAGUCUUAACCAUAAAC